GACGAACGCUGGCGGCGUGCUUAACACAUGCAAGUCGAGCGGUAAGGCCCUUUCGGGGGUACACGAGCGGCGAACGGGUGAGUAACACGUGGGUGACCUGCCCUCAGCUCUGGGAUAAGCCUGGGAAACUGGGUCUAAUACUGGAUAUGACUCCACGGUGCAUGUCGUGGGGUGGAAAGCCUUGUGCGGCUGAGGAUGGGCCCGCGGCCUAUCAGCUUGUUGGUGGGGUGANGGCCUACCAAGGCGACGACGGGUAGCCGGCCUGAGAGGGCGACCGGCCACACUGGGACUGAGACACGGCCCAGACUCCUACGGGAGGCAGCAGGUGGGGAAUCUUGCGCAAUGGGCGAAAGCCUGACGCAGCGACGCCGCGUGGAGGGAUGACGG
This 387-nucleotide ribosomal RNA is filed under the name uncultured bacterium. RNAcentral's name for it is "bacterial SSU rRNA". It matches the Rfam family "Bacterial small subunit ribosomal RNA", at positions 28 to 414 of the family's 1533-position model. The record is from RNAcentral.